GGAAGGGAAAAGAACAGCGGCAGUUCAAACUGGCUUGUAAAAUACAGCUGCUACCUUCAUCAUGAUCUCAUUUUCAGUGUUGCUUCUGGCAAUGGCAUCCUUGGGCAUCCGUCAGUUUAUGGAUGUUCGUUUGAUCAGCAGAAGGAGGGAGAAGAAGAGCUGCAGUCCAGUUGAACGGUCUUGAAAAAUACAUCAUGUUCUGGUCAUCUUUAGUGUUGCUUUUGGCAAUGAUAUCCUGUAUUUCUUCAUUAGACAUCACUCAGCCUGAGUUCCUGACUGUUCGACCUGGUGACACUCUGACUAUCAACUGUAAAGUCUCUUAUUCAGUUACUAGUUCGAGUAAUUAUGGAACAGGCUGGAUUCGUCAGCCUGCAGGAGAAGCUCUGGAGUGGAUUGGAGUUAUCCUAUAUGAAGGGAGCUCAGACUACAAGGAUUCACUGAAAAACAAGUGUACAGUGUCAGACAUUCACUCAGUCUGAAGAAGCAGUUAAAAAACCUGGAGAAUCUCACAAACUUUCAUGUACAAUAACUGGAUUUACUUUCAGCAGUCUUGUUUUGAACUGGAUCAGACAGACCCCUGGAAAAGGACUGGAAUGGAUUGCUUUAAUCCAUACAUCCAGUUCUCAUAUCUACUAAUCUCAGUCUGUUCAAGAAAGGUUCACGGUGUCCAGAGAUGAUUCCAGAAGCCAGUUGUACCUACAGAUGAACAGUCUAAAGACUGAAGACACUGCGGUUUAUUACUGUGCUAAAAGAGACACAGUGAACGUUAAUGUCACUAAGCCAUACAAAAAACACUUCCUCAUUCAUGUAUUGUAUGAACAUGUUGAA
Non-coding RNA from Xyrauchen texanus (razorback sucker), 828 nucleotides. The record is from the annotation of a RefSeq genome assembly. NCBI's taxonomy places the organism in Eukaryota, Metazoa, Chordata, Actinopteri, Cypriniformes, Catostomidae.